AGAUUAUGAUUUUUCUGUAAAGGAGGAAGAUUCUGAUUACCAAGAAAACAUUGAUAUUCCCCAAUUCUGCGAUGAGCCCAUUCGUAAUUAUGCUAAUUAUGAAAUAUGGUUUUAUUGCAAUGAUUAAAAUAAAAUUAGAUAUGAGAGCAAGAGACAUAAAACAUGCAUAUGGAAACUAUGAGGUUAAUAUAAAUCAGCAAAACCAUUACCAAGAAAAUACUGAUUCUUUAUUUUAUGAUCUCAUAGAUAUUGAGGAUAUUCCAAUUAAGAAGGAACAUGAAAACGAUGAUAAUGUUACGAAAGAAAUUGAAGACGAUAAUAAUAUUGUAGAUGAACAAAACAAUUAUAAAAAAACUACGGAUGUUAUCAUUUCUUGUGGAAAUAAAGUAGAUAUACUGUGCAAUGAUAAUUUAUUGUUUAAUACUACGAAUAAAUGCACAUAUAGUAAGAAUAAAGACGAUAAUCAAGGAAUUGCUAAUAUACAAGUAAAAAAAAUAAUAUCUAAUAUACCUAACAAUCUUGAGUUAAAAAAUGUGAGAAUCUGUCUUAAGAGAUUAAAUUCUACUGUUAUUAAUGGUGACAAAGAAAACAUUGAGGACUCCGAAUAUUUAUCUUCGAGAAAUGAGCGAGGUUUAUCAGAUGAACCAUUUCCAAAAAAGCACAAAGUAAAUGUAACUACCACUAGAUCAUUCACUUCAGUUUUUAAUAAGUUGCAAACAAAUUCGUCUGGAUGUAAUGAUGAAAAUAUGUAUGUUGACAAGUCGAAUACUAAAUCUAAACAAAACUGCUGCAUUUUUUGCAUGAAAUCACAAUCAAAACUUGCGCGGCAUUUAGAAAGCAUGCAUAGGGAUGAACCAGAAGUAAAGAAAUUUACUAUUUUACCCAAAAGAAGUCUAGAAAGAAAGAAAAUAAUAGAGACUAUGAGAAAAAAUGGUAAUUUCAAAUAUAAUACAAAUGCAGCAGUUAAUAAAGGGGAACUUAUUGUAUGCAGACGUCCUAAUGAAAAAUCCAAUAAAACCGCUACGGAUUUUAUUGCUUGUAUGAAAUGCAAAGGAUUUUUUGCCAAAAGUUCAAUACGUCAUCAUGCUCGAGAAUGUUUUAAGCGAAAUUUUAAAACGUCUAAAGGAAUCAUGAUUAUGGGAAGAAAAAUUACCUGCAGGAUACACAAAUUAGCGAAUGAUACAUUAAGAAACAUAGUUUUCCCUGUAUUACGAGAAGACGAAGUAACACGAGCAAUAAGAUAUGAUGAAUUAAUAAUCUUAUAUGCAAAUAAAUUAUGUGCUAAGUACAAGCCGCAACAUCAACACAAUAUAAUACGUGCCAAAUUGCGACUUCUUGGUCGUUUACUCUUGACAUUAAGAAAGAUAAAUAACGACAUAGAUGACUUUAAGUCGCUCUAUUAUCCCAAAUUCUAUGAUAAUUGUGUGUCUGCUAUAAAUAUUGUUGCAAGAUAUAACGAUAAUGAAAAAAUAUAUGAAACUCCAGCAGUAGCGAUUAACUUGUCAAUUUAUAUAAAAGACGUAGGAAAUCUCUUAAUUACAGAAUGUAUAAAACAAGAAGACACAGAAAGGAAAAAAUUAAUUGAAGAUUUUUUAAAAUUAUUAACUGUUGAUGGAAGGACAAGCAUAAAUACAAUUAUUGCAGAAACGCAAUUAAUUCAUAAAAGACACACAAAGAUACAACUCCCAUCAUUGGAAGAUAUUAAGACUUUAUAUAAACAUUUGAAGAAAAAGAGAGUCGAAGCUUAUAUUGCAUUAAAACAGUCUUUCUCCUUUAAUAAUUGGCUUUCUUUAGCAGAAGCAACAUUAAUUACAGUGCAUAUAAUUAAUAAACGGCAGGUAAAUGAAAUUGAGCGAAUACUUAUCAAAGAUUUUCGAAAUUAUAAAAAGCUAGAUAAAAAUAUGUACAGUAAUAUCUAUAAAUCAUUAUCAACGCAAAAUAGAAAAAUAGCAGAAAGAUACAUUCGAUUUUAUAUUAGAGGAAAAUUAGAGCGUAGAGUACCUAUUUUAUUGUCACAUGAUCUUUGUGAGUGUAUUAAUUUAAUAUUAAAAUUUCGAGAAAAAGCGAAAAUAUCAAAGAAAAAUCCGUAUAUCUUCGGAUUGCCUGACAUCGAGAAAUGCAGGUAUAAGUAUCUUAGAAUCUGUGCCUUAAUGCGAAAAUUCGCAAUAAAGUGUAAUGCAGUUCAUCCUAAUACUUUACGUAGUACAACAUUAACGAAAAAUAUGUCCACAUAUUGUAUCCAAUUGAAUGUAAGUGAAAUUGAUGCGUCUGAUCUUAAUAUUGUCAUGGGUCACGUGCAUAAAAUGGAUACAAAACAUAAACAAUUACUGUCUAUAAAAGAUGUAUUAAAGAUUUCACAAUAUUUGGAAGCAGUUCAGGAAAAUGAUGAAAAUUAUAAGAAAUUUGUAUCUUCAUCAAGUAAUGAAUCCGAAGAAAAUGAAUUUGUAUCUUCAUCAAGUAGUGAAUCCGAAGAAAAUGAAUUAGAAAUGAGAAAUAUCAAUGAUAUCAAUAUAAAAUGGAGAAGAAAGAUUUAAAUAAUAAACCUGACACAUUAUAAGGACAGGUAACAUAUGAAAAUAAAAAAAAAACAAACGGAAACGUUCUACAUCUUAUCAUCUUGGGAAGACAAAAAGAAUACGAUGAAGUGAAAAAGAUAAAAAAGCGAAACAUUUGAAAA
RNAcentral lists this unclassified non-coding RNA (2677 nucleotides) under Acromyrmex echinatior (Panamanian leafcutter ant). RNAcentral describes it as "uncharacterized protein PF11_0213-like, transcript variant X1". Lineage: Eukaryota; Metazoa; Arthropoda; Insecta; Hymenoptera; Formicidae. The record is from RNAcentral.